AGCGAACGCUGGCGGCAGGCCUAACACAUGCAAGUCGAACGAACUCUUUGGAGUUAAUGGCGGACGGGUGAGUAACACGUGGGAACGUGCCUUUAGGUUCGGAAUAACUCAGGGAAACUUGUGCUAAUACCGAAUGUGCCCUUCGGGGGAAAGAUUUAUCGCCUUUAGAGCGGCCCGCGUCUGAUUAGCUUGUUGGUGGGGUAAUGGCCCACCAAGGCGACGAUCAGUAGCUGGUCUGAGAGGAUGACCAGCCACAUUGGGACUGAGACACGGCCCAAACUCCUACGGGAGGCAGCAGUGGGGAAUCUUGCGCAAUGGGCGAAAGCCUGACGCAGCCAUGCCGCGUGGAUGAUGAAGGUCUUAGAAUUGUAAAAUCCUUUCACCGGUGAAGAUAAUGACUGUAGCCGGAGAAGAAGCCCCGGCUAACUUCGUGCCAGCCGCCGCGGUAA
RNAcentral lists this ribosomal RNA (449 nucleotides) under uncultured bacterium. RNAcentral's name for it is "partial 16S ribosomal RNA". It matches the Rfam family "Bacterial small subunit ribosomal RNA", at positions 29 to 523 of the family's 1533-position model. The record is from RNAcentral.